Molecule: ribosomal RNA, 346 nt
Filed under: uncultured bacterium
Lineage: Bacteria
Description: partial 16S ribosomal RNA
Rfam family: Bacterial small subunit ribosomal RNA
Source: RNAcentral
CCUACGGGGGGCAGCAGUGAGGAAUAUUGGUCAAUGGCCGGAAGGCUGAACCAGCCAUGCCGCGUGAAGGACAGGGACCUAGGGGCGUUAAACUUCUUUUGUGCGGGAGCAAGAAUGGUCACGUGGGGCCAGACGAGAGUACCGUACGAAGAAGCAGCGGCUAACGCCGGGCCAGCAGCCGCGGUAAUACGGGGGAUGCAAGCGUUAUCCGGAUUUCGUGGGGUUCAAGGGGGCGUAGGCUGUGAGGUAAGGCAGCGGUGAAAGGCCCCCGCUCAACGGGGUGAAGUGCCAUUGAUACUGCCUUGCUGGACUGCGGAUGCCGUGGGCGGAAUGUGUGGUGUAGCGG